UUUAUCCUCUACUUGAUUACUGCUUGUGUUUUUUGUUGUUUUGUUUUUGCAUCCCUAACACAAAGGAUUAUAUAUCUCGUUCUCAUUCACAGAGAGCGUGUGAGGACAAUGGCCAAGCAUUGCUGUGCCAUGUUUGAAGAACCACCAGCACCUGACUGAAGCCAGAAGUGAAGUUUCUGACCUACUGUAGAGAAGAAUAGGCAAACGUUACAUUUCCAGUACAGCCUGUGAAGAUGGACUGCACAGCCUAUGAAAGGAAAAAGCUGAUUCCUUAUUCACUGGAGAGCCAUCUAUAUUUUGCUGCAAGCGCCCAUCUGCCCAGGUACAUGCAAUAUCUGGUCCACCCAGUUACAGUCAGUGCACGCC
This 366-nucleotide long non-coding RNA is filed under the name Cottoperca gobio. RNAcentral describes it as "lncRNA (ENSCGOG00000004950.1)". Lineage: Eukaryota; Metazoa; Chordata; Actinopteri; Perciformes; Bovichtidae. The record is from RNAcentral.